Molecule: ribosomal RNA, 253 nt
Filed under: uncultured bacterium
Lineage: Bacteria
Description: partial 16S ribosomal RNA
Rfam family: Bacterial small subunit ribosomal RNA
Source: RNAcentral
UACGUAGGGUGCAAGCGUUAAUCGGAAUUACUGGGCGUAAAGCGUGCGCAGGCGGUGAUGUAAGACAGAUGUGAAAUCCCCGGGCUCAACUUGGGAACUGCAUUUGAGACUGCAUAGCUAGGGUGCGGAAGAGGGAAGCGGAAUUUCCGGUGUAGCGGUGAAAUGCGUAGAUAUCGGAAGGAACACCAGUGGCGAAAGCGGCUUCCUGGUCCAGCACCGACGUUCAGGCACGAAAGCGUGGGGAGCAAACAGG